Molecule: ribosomal RNA, 492 nt
Filed under: uncultured bacterium
Lineage: Bacteria
Description: partial 16S ribosomal RNA
Rfam family: Bacterial small subunit ribosomal RNA
Source: RNAcentral
AGUGAACGCUGGCGGUAGGCCUAACACAUGCAAGUCGAACGGCAGCACAGUAAGAGCUUGCUCUUACGGGUGGCGAGUGGCGGACGGGUGAGGAAUACAUCGGAAUCUACUUUUUCGUGGGGGCUAACGUAGGGACACUUACGCCAAUACCGCAUACGGCCUACGGGUGGAAGCAGGGGAUCUUCGGACCUUGCGCGAUCCAAUGAGCCGAUGUCGGAUUAGCUAGUUGGCGGGGUAAAGGCCCACCAAGGCGACGAUCCGUAGCUGGGCUGAGAGGAUGAGCAGGCACACUGGAACUGGGGCACGGUCCAGACUCCUACGGGAGGCAGCAGGGGGGAAUAUUGGACAAUGGGCGGAAGCCUGAUCCAGCCAUACCGCGUGGGUGAAGAAGGCCUUUGGGUUGUUAAGCCCUUUUGUUGGGAAAGAAAAGCAGCAGGUUAAUUCCCCGCUGUUCUGACGGUACCCAAAGAAUAAGCACCGGCUAACUUCGUG